RNAcentral lists this ribosomal RNA (449 nucleotides) under uncultured bacterium. Its description in RNAcentral is "partial 16S ribosomal RNA". It matches the Rfam family "Bacterial small subunit ribosomal RNA", at positions 29 to 523 of the family's 1533-position model. The record is from RNAcentral.
AACGAACGCUGGCGGCAUGCCUAACACAUGCAAGUCGAACGAGAUCUUCGGGUCUAGUGGCGCACGGGUGCGUAACGCGUGGGAAUCUGCCCUUUGGUUCGGAAUAACAGUUGGAAACGACUGCUAAUACCGGAUGAUGACGAAAGUCCAAAGAUUUAUCGCCAGAGGAUGAGCCCGCGUAGGAUUAGCUAGUUGGUGUGGUAAGGGCGCACCAAGGCGACGAUCCUUAGCUGGCCUGAGAGGGUGAUCAGCUACACUGGGACUGAGACACGGCCCAGACUCCUACGGGAGGCAGCAGUGGGGAAUAUUGGACAAUGGGCGAAAGCCUGAUCCAGCAAUGCCGCGUGAGUGAUGAAGGCCUUAGGGUUGUAAAGCUCUUUUACCCGGGAUGAUAAUGACAGUACCGGGAGAAUAAGCUCCGGCUAACUCCGUGCCAGCCGCCGCCGUAA